Molecule: ribosomal RNA, 468 nt
Filed under: uncultured bacterium
Lineage: Bacteria
Description: partial 16S ribosomal RNA
Rfam family: Bacterial small subunit ribosomal RNA
Source: RNAcentral
GAUGAACGCUGGCGGCGUGCUUAACACAUGCAAGUCGAACGGAAAGGCCGAAGCUUGCUUCGGUACUCGAGUGGCGAACGGGUGAGUAACACGUGGGUGAUCUGCCCUGUACUUCGGGAUAAGCUUGGGAAACUGGGUCUAAUACCGGAUAUGACGAUCUCUUGGAUGGGGUUGUGGAAAGCUUUUGCGGUAUGGGAUGAGCUCGCGGCCUAUCAGCUUGUUGGUGGGGUAAUGGCCUACCAAGGCGUCGACGGGUAGCCGGCCUGAGAGGGUGUACGGCCACAUUGGGACUGAGAUACGGCCCAGACUCCUACGGGAGGCAGCAGUGGGGAAUAUUGCACAAUGGGCGCAAGCCUGAUGCAGCGACGCCGCGUGGGGGAUGACGGCCUUCGGGUUGUAAACUCCUUUCGCAAUCGACGAAGCCUUUUGGUGACGGUAGGUUGAGAAGAUGCACCGGCUAACUACGUG